This 253-nucleotide ribosomal RNA is filed under the name uncultured bacterium. RNAcentral's name for it is "partial 16S ribosomal RNA". It matches the Rfam family "Bacterial small subunit ribosomal RNA", at positions 524 to 776 of the family's 1533-position model. The record is from RNAcentral.
GCCAGAGGGGCCGAGCGUUGUCCGGAGUCACUGGGCGUAAAGCGCGCGCAGGCGGCAACCUAAGUGUCGUGUGAAAGCCCCCGGCUCAACCGGGGGAGGCCAUGGCAAACUGGGUCGCUCGAGCUGCGGAGAGGCCCCUCGAAUUGCCGGUGUAGCGGUGAAAUGCGUAGAGAUCGGCAGGAAGACCAAGGGGGAAGCCAGGGGGCUGGCCGCAGGCUGACGCUCAGGCGCGACAGCGUGGGGAGCAAACCGG